UACAGAGGGGGCAAGCGUUAUUCGGAAUUAUUGGGCGUAAAGGGCGCGUAGGCGGCCUGACAAGUGGAAGGUGAAAUCCCUCGGCUUAACCGAGGAACUGCCUUCCAAACUGUCGGGCUUGAGUCCGGGAGAGGCGAGUGGAAUUCCCAGUGUAGCGGUGAAAUGCGUAGAUAUUGGGAGGAACACCAGUGGCGAAGGCGGCUCGCUGGACCGGAACUGACGCUGAGGCGCGAAAGCGUGGGGAGCAAACAGG
This 253-nucleotide ribosomal RNA is filed under the name uncultured bacterium. Its description in RNAcentral is "partial 16S ribosomal RNA". It matches the Rfam family "Bacterial small subunit ribosomal RNA", at positions 524 to 776 of the family's 1533-position model. The record is from RNAcentral.